GACAGAGUGAGGGACUAGGGCUCAUAAGACCUAGGUUCAAGAUUGCAAGAAUGUGGAAAGCUGCAGCAGCUGAAUUCCUGCCUGUUAUUUUAUGUAUUAAAGGCACAGGAACGCUGAUGGAAAAACAGUGAUGGCAUCCCUAGCCACUGUAUUGGGCAACUGCAAAGCAAAGAAAAUGUCGACAUCAGAAGCUACACUCACACUGAGGGCCAGUGAAACUACAGAACAGAGAAGAUUACCCUUUGAAGGUGUAGGAUCACCUCACAAGCCCUGUGAAAGAACUUCUGUGAACUACAUGUUUUCAAACUUCUUGAAUACGCCAGUUACAAAGCAUGAGGUUGCAUUUAUGAACUAUCUGUGCUUUGGCUUCCAUACUUCAUAAUUCAUUUCAAUAUUUUAUGAAAUCAGUUUUACUUAAAGUGUCUUGAUAUGCUUCCAAAUCCAUUCUUCCUGCAACCUCAUUAAUGGUGGAUUGAUCCUUCUUUAUGGCCAAAGAUUAUGUUUGUCUUGAAAUUGUUUCAAGAGAAGGAACCGCCCAGUUCAGAGCAGCCUUAUGAAAAUGUUUGUGCUUAAUGCAGUGCCAUUGGCUGCACUCCCUGUGUCUAAAUGCUAGCUUAAGGGACUCUGAGGAAAGAAGAGAAAAGUUUAGUGGUCAUGGACUUUUCACAAGAAUUCAGGUGUCUUUUCCCAAAUCCACUCUUCUACAGAAACAGUAAAGAUGUGAAAUACUUUUACUCCUCUGAAUCUGUGUAGUUUCUAUUGCAAUAUCCUACAUGUCUAAAUAAGGUACUAUCCUAUUCAGUGGUAAUAUAGCAGCUAGCUAUGUUACAUCUGUUGGAAUAGUUUAUAAGAGAAAUAGUAAUGUAGCGCCUAUAAGACUAACUCGUUUUUAUUUUUCAUAAGCCUUCGGUGUCCAAACCUAGUUCAUCUGAAGACAUUUGCUUGGAGAAAAAAUGCUUAUGAAAAAUAUUAAAAACUGGUUACAGUGGUGCCUCGCAAGACAAUGUUAAUUCGUUCCGUGAAAAUUGCUGUCUUGCGAAACCAUUGCCUUGCGAAACACGGUUCCUCAUUAGAAUGAAUUGAAAUCUAUUUAAUGCGUUCCAAUGGGGAAAAAUGGUCGUCUUGCAAAAAUCGUCCAUAGGAAACCAUCGUCUUGCAAAGUGCAACAGCAAUCGCAAAAAACAAUCGUCUUGCAGAUUAAUCGUCCCACGAGGCAAUCAUCUUGCGAGGCACCACUGUAGUCUUAUUUGAGUUCUAUGGAACUUUCUCAUGUGUAAUAUAUAGGAUCAACUACUGUAUAUAUCACUCUUAAUUUUUCUGUAAAAAACCCUAAGCUUAUUUUCUGUUAAAAAAACCCCACUGAAGCUCAUUUUCUACUGUAUUAGGUUAGAUUUCAUAGCUCCUAACAAACAAUUCAAGUUGAGAAUUAUUGAGGGAAAGCAGACAGGGGUGUUGGUGUUGGUUACUAUUUAGCCUUGCAAAGUUUAACAUUGUACUCUGCCUUGGCCUUCUGAUGGGCGUGUACUGUUUUGGGGGCAAUGAUGUGCUUCUCAAGUGUCCCUACUACGUGUUGCCAUAUGUGCAUGGGCAUGUUCUUUUCCUGACUGUUUGGCUGUGGAUACCAGUCUGGGAUCUUUGCCUUCAUCACACUGCAAAUAAAUCUUGGAGA
This 1669-nucleotide long non-coding RNA is filed under the name Pogona vitticeps (central bearded dragon). RNAcentral's name for it is "lncRNA (ENSPVIG00000008183.1)". The record is from RNAcentral. Lineage: Eukaryota; Metazoa; Chordata; Lepidosauria; Squamata; Agamidae.